AGCCGUUUCCUCUUGACUCUGGAACU
This 26-nucleotide non-coding RNA is filed under the name Cricetulus griseus (Chinese hamster). Lineage: Eukaryota; Metazoa; Chordata; Mammalia; Rodentia; Cricetidae. The record is from RNAcentral.